GAGCAAGAAGAGCAGGGUAGGGUUUAACCCCCUAGAAAAAGGGUAAUGAAAACGUAUGUAUAGAAUCUACAGGCUCUGAGGAAAUAUCUUCCUUUCUUUGACUUAAAAAACAGAAUUGUAUGUAACUAAAGAGUUUUGGACUAGGAAAACAUUAUGAAGUGGCAUUUGAAAGUGAAUUCUUAAAAAUUAUAACUUUGUGGUCUUCACCAAUAUUAACACAUUUUCCAACUGUUUUUCAUCUUUUUCCAACUGUUUUUCAUCUUUUUCCUUUGUAAUUCAUCUUGACUCAUCUUCAUUGUGCUUGAGCAUUCCAGUUUCUUGCUUUAUUUUUGUCUUCCCGUCUAUUGUGUCAGAAUGUACUACAAAUCUAAUCAAAUGUCCCGUGGAAUACAAAAGAUUAAGACAUUUACUAACUCACCAGUCCACGUGGAUUUCAGCUAUUUCUGACUUGUUAUUGAUUUGCUUAUUGUAAUUUAAAUUUUAAAAAUGCAGUCCAGGCCGGGUGCGGUGGCUCACACUUGUAAUCCCAGCACUUUGGGAGGCUGAGGCGGGUGGAUCACAAGGUCAGGAGUUCAAGACCAGCCUG
Molecule: small RNA, 586 nt
Filed under: Pongo abelii (Sumatran orangutan)
Lineage: Eukaryota; Metazoa; Chordata; Mammalia; Primates; Hominidae
Description: processed transcript
Source: RNAcentral